Clupea harengus (Atlantic herring) is the source of this 1809-nucleotide long non-coding RNA. The record is from Ensembl. NCBI's taxonomy places the organism in Eukaryota, Metazoa, Chordata, Actinopteri, Clupeiformes, Clupeidae.
AUAUAUAUAUAUACUAAAACUUUAUAUUAUUUAAGACUUGGAUGUAAGUUUGCACUGUCUAACAUUUUAUGGUGAGUCAAAGUUUUAGGUUUGUGUUGCGUGCUGAAUGUGUCUGUUUUGUAUGGGGUGGUAAGAUCUGUGAGUGUGAGAGGGUAUGCUGACAUGCACGACUUAACAAAAGAGGAGUUGAGCUAUAGUAAUUUAUUCUUCACGUUUAUGUAAAUAAUUCACCGCUUCAUACAGUUUGAUGUCAUUGCUUUCCCACCAUGUUCCCCACAUUGCUGAAGUAUGUCACAAGAUUUAUAAUUCAAGCCUUCUUGGUGCAGACCUAAUGUAUUGUUUCUGUCACUAUAUACUUAUCUGUUAUGAGUGUGGUAUGAAGUUACUCAAAAUCAUCCUUCAUUUUUUUCCAGUUUUAUUUCCAGACACAUUAGAUAUUGGGUUGGUACUUGUUUGUCGAUGUAACAAUACCCCUUGAGAGGGCAGAGGCUGAUAUAUGAUUUUCGUUUUGUUUAUUUAGACUUUAAUUAUUAAGGAUGUGUGCAUGUUAGAUCCUGUUUGCUUUAUAUCUCUCUCUCUGUGUCUGUUUUAUCACAUUCUUACAUCUUCACUGUCAACUUGUAAGCUCUCAAUGUUGGAUCAGAAGAAAAAGAACAAUGAACUUCCUAUAUAUAUAUAUAUAUAUAUAAAUGGGCAUAUAUUUAUAUAUAUGCCCAUUUAUUUUAUUGACUGUAUGUAUCUGUAUUUGAUUUGGUCGCCUGGAGAAUGUGGUGUGUGUGACUCAGCAGUGGUUCCCAUUGGACUGUGAUCAAAUGAUCAUUCAAUCUUUUCCGUGGUGGAGCAUACAGCAGAGGAUCCCUUCUGUCAUGUGAUCAAGUGAUCGUUAUCCCCAUCCUGUUGGCCUCAUUGGAUUUUGGGGUCCUAAUUUUAGGGCACAGGCCAGGGAGCAAAAGCCACUGAAUCUCCAAUCAUCAUAGAGGAGGAUCGCUGGGAUCCACCGGAUUCAAUGGGAUCCACCGGAUUCAAUGGGAUCCACUGGAUUCAAUGGGAUCCACCGCAACGCUGCCUCUCCGGCUCAUUCUGCUCCCCUUACUUGUGACUGUGUUCCUUGUUGUUUGUGUUAAGAGUUAAUGAGAAGUGUGGGCUGAAGAAGGGCAUCCAGUGGCCCAUAUGAGAGCAGAAUAGAGGUGGGGGACUGUAGAUGUGUGUGUGUGUGUGUGUGUGUGUGUGUGUGUGUGUGUGUGUGUUUGUGCGUAUGUGUAGCCAGUGGGGAAUGAAAAAUAGGGUGGCAAGGGUUAGAUAUUGAUUUUAAAGUAUAUGCUGACAUGAACCAUGAAAAAAAAAUUAAAAAGCAACAAAACCAUACAAAAAUAUGCUUGCUUGCAAUUAUCCCAUGCUGUUAUUUAGGACAAUUGUUCACCUUAUAUAAAGUAAAAAAAAAGAAAAAGAAAGGGGUAGAAUAUCAAAUGGGAUUUUGUUUUUUUGUUGAUUCAAUUACUCUGCGCUCAGAGAUGAUGGCAGCUUUUGAAAUAGGUGUGAAACCUAUUUCAAAAUGUAUCCCCUCCUCAAGAACACCCCCUUAAAGUACGUAUAGAGUUUAAAAAAAAAAUUAUUGGUGUAUCUGAUAUCUAUGGUGAUUGUGCCUUUCACUACUCUGCGUGGUUUUUGCUGACUUUUCCAUCCCCAAUAUGGGCAGAAGCCCACAAGCAGUAAAGACCUAUGCAAACAAUAAGAGUGGGGUUCCAGCAUCCAUUCAGAAAUGCAGGUACCGGACAAAAAAAACAAACAAACAAAACAAUAAACUCUCAG